Molecule: ribosomal RNA, 497 nt
Filed under: uncultured bacterium
Lineage: Bacteria
Description: bacterial SSU rRNA
Rfam family: Bacterial small subunit ribosomal RNA
Source: RNAcentral
GAUGAACGCUGGCGGCGUGCUUAACACAUGCAAGUCGAGCGGAGUUAAUAAAAGGAAGUUUUCGGAUGGAAUUUUAUUAACUUAGCGGCGGACGGGUGAGUAACGCGUGGGUAACCUGCCUUAUACUGGGGGAUAACAGUUAGAAAUGACUGCUAAUACCGCAUAAGCAUACAGUGCCACAUGGCACAGUGUGAAAAACUCCGGUGGUAUAAGAUGGACCCGCGUCUGAUUAGCUAGUUGGUGAGGUAACGGCCCACCAAGGCGACGAUCAGUAGCCGACCUGAGAGGGUGACCGGCCACAUUGGGACUGAGACACGGCCCAAACUCCUACGGGAGGCAGCAGUGGGGAAUAUUGCACAAUGGGCGAAAGCCUGAUGCAGCGACGCCGCGUGAGUGAAGAAGUAUCUCGGUAUGUAAAGCUCUAUCAGCAGGGAAGAAAUUGACGGUACCUGACUAAGAAGCCCCGGCUAACUACGUGCCAGCAGCCGCAGUAAGAC